CCUACGGGAGGCAGCAGUGAGGAAUAUUGGUCAAUGGCCGGAAGGCUGAACCAGCCAUGCCGCGUGAAGGUCAGUGCCCUAUGGGCGUUAAACUUCUUUUGUGCGGGAGCAAUACUGGUCACGUGUGGCCAGACGAGAGUACCGUACGAAUAAGCAUCGGCUAACUCCGUGCCAGCAGCCGCGGUAAUACGGGGGAUGCAAGCGUUAUCCGGAUUUAUUGGGUUUAAAGGGUGCGUAGGCUGUGAGGUAAGUCAGCGGUGAAAUGCCCCCGCUCAACGGGGUGAAGUGCCAUUGAUACUGCCUGGCUGGAAUGCGGAUGCCGUGGGAGGAAUGUGUGGUGUAGCGGUGAAAUGCAUAGAUAUCACACAGAACACCGAUUGCGAAGGCAUCUCACGAAGCCGCGAUUGACGCUGAUGCACGAAAGCGUGGGUAUCAAACAGGAUUAGAUACCCGUGUAGUC
This 460-nucleotide ribosomal RNA is filed under the name uncultured bacterium. Its description in RNAcentral is "partial 16S ribosomal RNA". It matches the Rfam family "Bacterial small subunit ribosomal RNA", at positions 338 to 795 of the family's 1533-position model. The record is from RNAcentral.